This 460-nucleotide ribosomal RNA is filed under the name uncultured bacterium. Its description in RNAcentral is "partial 16S ribosomal RNA". It matches the Rfam family "Bacterial small subunit ribosomal RNA", at positions 338 to 795 of the family's 1533-position model. The record is from RNAcentral.
CCUACGGGUGGCAGCAGUGAGGAAUAUUGGUCAAUGGACGCAAGUCUGAACCAGCCAUGCCGCGUGCAGGAAGACGGCUCUAUGAGUUGUAAACUGCUUUUGUACGAGGGUAAACGCAGAUACGCGUAUCUGUCUGAAAGUAUCGGACGAAUAAGGAUCGGCUAACUCCGUGCCAGCAGCCGCGGUAAUACGGAGGAUUCAAGCGUUAUACGGAUUUAUUGGGUUUAAAGGGUGCGUAGGCGGUCGGAUAAGUUAGAGGUGAAAUCCCGAGGCUCAACUUCGGAAUUGCCUCUGAUACUGUUCGGCGAGAGAGUAGUUGCGGUAGGAGGAAUGUAUGGUGUAGCGGUGAAAUGCUUAGAGAUCAUACAGAACACCGAUUGCGAAGGCAGCUUACCAAGCUACUUCUGACGUUGAGGCACGAAAGCGUGGGGAGCAAACAGGAUUAGAUACCCCAGUAGUC